RNAcentral lists this transfer RNA (69 nucleotides) under Ischnocnema sp. 3 CC-2012. RNAcentral describes it as "tRNA-Val". It matches the Rfam family "tRNA". Rfam says of the family: Transfer RNA (tRNA) molecules are approximately 80 nucleotides in length. Lineage: Eukaryota; Metazoa; Chordata; Amphibia; Anura; Brachycephalidae. The record is from RNAcentral.
CGAAGCAUAGUGUAAUAAAAACAUUUCGCUUACACCGAGAAAAAACCUGUUAAACUCAGGUUGCUUCGA